AUUAUUUACCAGGAACAGUUUCCACUACCCCUACUAUGUUACGACUUAUCUUAUUUUACCAACAAGAGCGACGGGCGAUAUGUACGCGCUAUAAAACCUGAUUCAUAUAAACAUAUUAAUUAUUUACAUUACUAUUAAGUCCAAUUUCAAAAAUACUUUACAUUACUUAAUCCAUUUAAAAAUUAUAAAUAGUAGCUCAUUUUAAUAACCUUUUUUAUUAGCUGCAUUUUGACUUGACAUAUUAGCAAACUCACUUUUAAGUUUUUUAAUAAUUCUCACGAAAUAAACUGACGACAGCAAUAUACAAACUGUUAAAUUAUUCAAAAAAAAGUAAGAGUUAAUUGAGGAUUAUCAAAUUAAUAAACAAGCUCCCCUAAGUGGAUAUAUAGCACCGCCAAGCUUUUUAAGUUUCAAAUAUUAUAUAACAAAAUAAUUUAUUUACACUACUUAAAUAAAAAAAAAUUUAAAAUAAAGAAUAAUAGGGUAUCUAAUCCUAGUUUUUUUAUAAUCUUAUUUUCAAAGCUUAAAUUCUAGAGAAACUUAAAUAAUAAUAUUAAUUUAAAAUUUUACCUAUAACUAAUAUUCUCAACCUCUCUAAUUAAAUACAUUAAUAAUUAUUACUUUUUUUUAUAUUAUAAAUUAUAUAAAUUUAAGAUAUAUGUAUAACCGCGAAUGCUGGCACAAAUUUAUUCAUCUAUAACUUAUAAUAACUAUAUCAAACUUUCAUUCAUUGUAUAAAAAUAAAUACUGCGUAAUCUAUUAAUUAUUAUCUUAAUAAAAUAUUAAUAAUAAAUAUUAUUAAUUAUAUUAUAUUAAACAAUAAAACUAAUAAUAAUAAAGAUAAAACGAUACAAUUUAAAUCUAGCAUAUAUAAUUUUAAUAACAAUUUAUAUAAUAACCAAAGCCAAAUUAAUUAUAUAAAUAUAUAAAUAAUAAUUCAAAUUUAAUCUACACAUUAACUAUAAUAUAUUAUAUAUUUUA
This 981-nucleotide ribosomal RNA is filed under the name Acanthosepion lycidas. RNAcentral's name for it is "Sepia lycidas 12S ribosomal RNA". The record is from RNAcentral. Lineage: Eukaryota; Metazoa; Mollusca; Cephalopoda; Sepiida; Sepiidae.